UGAACGGCCACAUCGGCUGUAGCGAAAACGCAACCGAGCACAGCAGCGUUUGGACCACCAGCAGCGACCCCAGUUCGAGUGGCAGGGUCAGGAGAGGGAGGCGGGCCGGGAA
Molecule: small RNA, 112 nt
Filed under: Scrippsiella trochoidea
Lineage: Eukaryota; Dinophyceae; Peridiniales; Peridiniaceae
Description: partial Cyanobacteria transfer-messenger RNA
Source: RNAcentral